AAGACAGCUGUCUCCAAGCUAGAAAGAGCCGGCACACUGACCUUCAACUUCACAGCCCCUGAAACUGAGGCUCUUCCUGGGUUUCUGCUCCCUGCACUGCAGCCUGGAGAUCAUCCGCAGAGCACGCUGUUGGAAGGAUGAGCACUCAUCCACAGAAGUAGCCAGAGCAGCCUUGCUAGAGGAACGCCCACCCUCUGUCCACAACAGUCUGCUCAUAGGCCUGCUGAGUAAACACAAGGUGGCUGCAGAAAGGUUGGAUUGAUAGCCUAGAACAGUUUACUCAUCCUGCAGACUUCUAAUAGCCUUGUCUGUAAUUACUGACUUCUGCUUAGUACUGAUAAUGGAAAUAAAUAACUUUACCCUCUGAGACAA
RNAcentral lists this long non-coding RNA (372 nucleotides) under Mus musculus (house mouse). RNAcentral's name for it is "predicted gene, 49249". Lineage: Eukaryota; Metazoa; Chordata; Mammalia; Rodentia; Muridae. The record is from RNAcentral.